GCGCCCUUAGCUCAGGGGAUAGAGCAACUGCCUUCUAAGCAGUGGGUCCGAGGUUCGAUUCCUCGAGGGCGCGCCA
Molecule: transfer RNA, 76 nt
Filed under: Candidatus Pelagibacteraceae bacterium
Lineage: Bacteria; Pseudomonadati; Pseudomonadota; Alphaproteobacteria; Candidatus Pelagibacterales; Candidatus Pelagibacteraceae
Also listed under: 1 other name
Description: tRNA-Arg
Rfam family: tRNA
About the family: Transfer RNA (tRNA) molecules are approximately 80 nucleotides in length.
Source: RNAcentral